GUUUAAUUAGUUUAUUAAAAUAGUAAAUUGUGGAUUUACAGAUGAAUCUUUCAUUAAACA
RNAcentral lists this transfer RNA (60 nucleotides) under Haemaphysalis kitaokai. RNAcentral's name for it is "tRNA-His". The record is from RNAcentral. Lineage: Eukaryota; Metazoa; Arthropoda; Arachnida; Ixodida; Ixodidae.